CAAUAGCGUAUAUUAAAGUUGUUGCAGUUAAAAGCUCGUAGUUGGAUUUCUGGGAGGGUGCCAAUGUCCGUCGUCGUACGUGUUGCAGCGGCGCCCUUCCAUCCUUCUGUUAACGACUUUGGGCAUUCAUUUGCCGGAGUCGGGCUCAGAUAUUUUACCUUGAGAAAAUUAGAGUGUUUCAGGCAGGCUUGCGCCUAGAUACAUUAGCAUGGAAUAAUAGAAUAGGACUUUGACCUCUUCUGUUGGUCUGAGGGGUGAGAGUAAUGAUUAAUAGGGAUAGUUGGGGGCAUUAGUACUUAACUGCUAGAGGUGAAAUUCUCAGAUUUGUUAAAGACUAACUUAUGCGAAAGCAUUUGCCAAGGAUGUUUUCAUUAAUCAAGAACGAAAGUUAGGGGAUCAAAGACGAUUAGAU
RNAcentral lists this ribosomal RNA (412 nucleotides) under uncultured eukaryote. RNAcentral describes it as "bacterial SSU rRNA". It matches the Rfam family "Eukaryotic small subunit ribosomal RNA", at positions 592 to 1013 of the family's 1831-position model. The record is from RNAcentral.